Molecule: ribosomal RNA, 403 nt
Filed under: Fusobacteriota bacterium
Lineage: Bacteria; Fusobacteriati; Fusobacteriota
Description: Fusobacteria bacterium partial 16S ribosomal RNA
Rfam family: Bacterial small subunit ribosomal RNA
Source: RNAcentral
UGGGGAAUAUUGCACAAUGGAGGGAACUCUGAUGCAGCGACGCCGCGUGAACGAAGAAGGCUUUCGAGUCGUAAAGUUCUUUUAUAUGGGAAGAUAAUGACGGUACCAUAAGAAAAAGCCCCGGCUAACUACGUGCCAGCAGCCGCGGUAAUACGUAGGGGGCUAGCGUUGUCCGGAAUCACUGGGCGUAAAGGGUUCGCAGGCGGAAAUGCAAGUCAGAUGUAAAAGGCAGUAGCUUAACUACUGUAAGCAUUUGAAACUGCAUAUCUUGAGAAGAGUAGAGGUAAGUGGAAUUUUUAGUGUAGCGGUGAAAUGCGUAGAUAUUAAAAAGAAUACCGGUGGCGAAGGCGACUUACUGAGCUCAUUCUGACGCUGAGGAACGAAAGCGUGGGUAGCAAACAGG